RNAcentral lists this unclassified non-coding RNA (253 nucleotides) under uncultured Phycisphaeraceae bacterium. RNAcentral's name for it is "contains 16S-23S intergenic spacer region". It matches the Rfam family "Bacterial small subunit ribosomal RNA", at positions 524 to 776 of the family's 1533-position model. The record is from RNAcentral. Lineage: Bacteria; Pseudomonadati; Planctomycetota; Phycisphaerae; Phycisphaerales; Phycisphaeraceae.
UACAGAGGGUGCGAGCGUUAAUCGGAAUCACUGGGCUUAAAGGGUGCGUAGGCGGAUGCAUAGGCGCUUUGUGAAAUCCCACGGCUCAACCGUGGAAUUGCUUGGCGAACCAUGCGUCUUGAGGUUGGUAGAGGUCACUGGAACGAUAGGUGGAGCGGUGAAAUGCGUAGAUAUCGAUCGGAACGCCAAAGGUGAAGACAGGUGACUGGGCCAAAUCUGACGCUGAGGCACGAAAGCGGGGGGAGCGAACGGG